GAUGAAGAACGUAGCGAAAUGCGAUAAGUAGUGUGAAUUGCAGAAUUCAGUGAAUCAUCGAAUCUUUGAACGCACAUUGCGCCCCUUGGUAUUCCAUGGGGCAUGCCUGUUCGAGCGUCAUUUGUACCUUCAAGCUUUGCUUGGUGUUGGGUGUUUGUUCCGCCUCUGUGUGUGAACUCGCCUCAAAACAAUUGGCAGCCGGCGUACUUGUUUCGGAGCGCAGCACAUUUUGCGAUCCAGAUCAACGUACAGCGGCAUCCAAGAAGCCUUAUUUAACGCUCUUGACCUCGGAUCAGGUAGGGAUACCCGCUGAACUUAAGCAUAUCAAUAAGCGGAGGA
Molecule: unclassified non-coding RNA, 339 nt
Filed under: soil metagenome
Description: partial contains 5.8S ribosomal RNA, internal transcribed spacer 2, and large subunit ribosomal RNA
Rfam family: 5.8S ribosomal RNA (bases 1-120)
Source: RNAcentral